UAUGACUUCUCUGAAAGUCUCAAAAGCUUCACAGAGCAGCAAUAUCAGUUAAUGAAGAAAUGUGGCUCUGUAGUGGACACCUGUGAGGCAGAGGACAGACAGCUGCUGAUGUCUGAUGCUGACUGACAAUAAACAGACCUCUCUGGAUGUACCCCAUAUUUUGCAGAGUAAUUCUAACAUUGCCCUUCCUGUAACAUGAUGAUCCUGCUGUCCUGGACUGUAUAUGAUGAGCCUACACAUAAUCUCAGAACAGCUGUGGUAAUAACAGGAGACCCAUUAGAUGAGAGCGGCACUGCAGUCUUUCCUGAUGGAGGAGAUCAUGGACAAUUUUCACAAGACUGAUGAUGUGUUUCAGCUAUGUUUGUAUCGUAAAUCCUCACAAUGUUUGUAUAUAUAUAUUUUAUUUUUUUAAUUAUGUGAAUUUAUAACACUAUACUUUGUAUUAUAUCACAUUCAUAUCAAAUUACAGAAAAAAAUAGUUAAUGCUAAUGCAAGGGUGUUUCUAAUCCAGAG
Molecule: long non-coding RNA, 513 nt
Organism: Carassius auratus (goldfish)
Lineage: Eukaryota; Metazoa; Chordata; Actinopteri; Cypriniformes; Cyprinidae
Exons: 5
Source: RefSeq, a predicted model, not a curated record